UGGGGAAUAUUGGACAAUGGGCGCAAGCCUGAUCCAGCAAUGCCGCGUGUGUGAAGAAGGCCUUCGGGUUGUAAAGCACUUUUAUCAGGAGCGAAAUACUAUCGGUUAAUAACCGGUGGGGCUGACGGUACCUGAGGAAUAAGCACCGGCUAACUUCGUGCCAGCAGCCGCGGUAAGACAGAGGGGGCAAGCGUUGCUCGGAAUCACUGGGCGUAAAGGGCGCGUAGGCGGGAUGGCAAGUCGGUCGUGAAAUCCCUGGGCUCAACUCAGGGGGGUCGGCCGAUACUGCCGUUCUUGAGGGAUGCAGAGGAGACUGGAAUUCCCGGUGUAGCGGCGAAAUGUGUAGAGAUCGGGAGGAACACCGGUGGCGAAGGCGGGUCUCUGGGCAUUCCCUGACGCUGAGGCGCGAAAGCGUGGGGAGCAAAC
This 426-nucleotide ribosomal RNA is filed under the name uncultured bacterium. RNAcentral's name for it is "bacterial SSU rRNA". It matches the Rfam family "Bacterial small subunit ribosomal RNA", at positions 355 to 773 of the family's 1533-position model. The record is from RNAcentral.